GCUGACUCCACGGGAAAAGGAGAAAGCGCAGGAGGAAGGCGUGGCCUUCUCGGUGAGUCAAAACUAGAAUAAUGAGUGGACGGGCUCGUGUGAAAGCCAGAGGACAAUGCUUUCCUGGAAGAGAAACAUAUGGACAAAGUGAUUUUGCAAAACCAGGUGGUUCGGGAGACACUGCUUCUUACAGUGUGCCAGAAGCCAG
Ahaetulla prasina is the source of this 199-nucleotide long non-coding RNA. RefSeq lists it as uncharacterized. The record is from RefSeq and is a predicted model, not a curated record. NCBI's taxonomy places the organism in Eukaryota, Metazoa, Chordata, Lepidosauria, Squamata, Colubridae. The transcript is spliced from 3 exons.